UAACAGGGAGUACCACCUCUAACUGGAAAGCAAAACAAGCGUCUGGAAGGCAUAAACGGCGCUGAAUUUUUGAAGAUUUUAAUUAUUUGCAGUGGGCUGAGUUUUAAAAUGGCAAUAAUAAUGGCUGAAUCGAGUUACGAAAGGCGCGUAAAGGCAUUGUACGAAAAGCAAAUUCGCAUGGAAGCACUCGAGGGGAAAUUCAUCAAAAAGGUCUAUAAAUUCAACAGCAAUUUAUUGGAUGUCAAAGAAGCAGUUUUGCGCCAUCAGCGGAAAGUGGGAAAGUUGCAAAAAGUUGUCAUGGAGCGGCGGGAGGAGUUGGAAAAGCGAGUUUCCUUUAUGGAGGAACUUGCUCAAGAACUCGAGGCUACCAAACUUCGAAAUUUGGCCAUGAAAGAUCAGAUUAAACAGCGAAAGAUGCUGGCUAGACAGCGGAAAAAUGAAAUCAUGGAAAGGAUUCACACGCUGUCGAAGACAACAGGAACCUAUGUAAAUCAUGAGGCGCUGCCGGCACGUGUGAAGGGUGUCACUGUACUCCGUGGCGAUAAGCGCGACCAGUUGAUACCCUUUGAUCUGAAUGCGACCGACGCGGAAGGACUGGACUCACUUUGUCAGCACCUCGAGAGCCUGAAUGUCGACGUGUCGCAGUGGCAACAGCUUGUCUCGCUGGCCAUGGAUGUGGCUAUGGAGGCACGUGCUCCUAUUACUCCGCCUAAGGAAGCAGCCAAUUGCAAGUCGAUAAUUGAGAUUGAUCUUACCUCGCCGACCAGUCAUCAGGCCUGACUUCCGAUUAAAUGAUUUGCUUGGCCUGGGGAUGCCCCUUUGCCAAUGAAGCACUUUAAUUUGGCAUAAUAAAUAGUUGCCGACUAAUGAUACGUCUAAUUGAGAACUAAUCUUUUCAAAUUAGGUCUUAUUUGGAUUACAGUAGUUAUUUUUAGCGCGUUAAGUACACCUUGUAAUUUCUUAAAUGCACUAUUAAUUAUACAUAUACCAACUUGUUACGAUAAGAUAGAACGGAUAAAUAUAGAUCCCAAAAAUCUUUUCGGAGACAUCGCUAUUAGGCGACUUAAGAUUAGGAGAUGUCACGAAUGACUCCAAUGCCAGUUGGUUGGAAUUAAUCAUAUUCAAAACCAGUUAUUGAAUGAAAUUGUUUGAAAUCAAAGACUUACUGGUCUUGGUAUAACAUUUAUUUACAUUUACG
This 1198-nucleotide unclassified non-coding RNA is filed under the name Drosophila yakuba. Its description in RNAcentral is "mitch". Lineage: Eukaryota; Metazoa; Arthropoda; Insecta; Diptera; Drosophilidae. The record is from RNAcentral.